CGCAUAAAGGGCUGAGUCCACGUGUUGGAUGGCGUCCUGUUGCUUUUGCUAUUGCAGAUGUGGGUGAGGAACCUCACAUGGGAGAGGCAGCUUGCAAGACAUGUGACACUUUCGGGCUGAAGCACUUAAGAGCCAGUGUGCCCUGUCCAUUUCUGUCUUCUGUCCUGUGGAUUUGGAAGCAUGUGUUGACAGAACAAUGUCUUAUGGUGAAGGAAGCCUAAACCCCUGAGUCAUUGGAUGGAGGAGAGCCCAUGUUGACCCAUAAAGGACUUCAUGGUCUCGCUCUGUCACCCAGGCUGGAGUGCAGGCGUG
RNAcentral lists this long non-coding RNA (312 nucleotides) under Homo sapiens (human). RNAcentral describes it as "HSALNT0292419". Lineage: Eukaryota; Metazoa; Chordata; Mammalia; Primates; Hominidae. The record is from RNAcentral.